Molecule: long non-coding RNA, 1050 nt
Filed under: Lytechinus variegatus (green sea urchin)
Lineage: Eukaryota; Metazoa; Echinodermata; Echinoidea; Temnopleuroida; Toxopneustidae
Description: uncharacterized LOC121424275
Source: RNAcentral
UUUACUUCAAAAGUAUUUUCCCGCAUAAUCCAUGUUUCUUCAAUACAUUCUCGACAGAAAAAUUGACAUUUCAGUGCAUUUUGAGCUAUUUUGAUAGAAAAUAAUGCGAGUUCCCUUGCAACGAGAAUAAUCCGAUACCGCCGGCGAGCCGUGUUCAUUUAACUUAAUUACAACUUGCAAAUUUGAGCUGAUUUUUCCGUCACUUUACAUAUUUUAAUGUAUCUGUCACAGCUUUUUUUAAUGCAAAUUCCACUGGAAACAACGGGUCUUCUGGAGGAUACAAGCACUUGGGCUGGUCCCAACCACCUACACCCAGGAUGAGAAGAGGUUUCAUACUCGACAAGCGAUGGCCUUGGCUUUCCAUUUCUUUCACGAGCAGAAAUGAUACCGAGUUCCAAUGACUUGGGCAUCAGAGCAGCAGUCCCUUUAUCGAUGAGCUCUUUGAGACCACCUGAAUUGCAAGCUCUGUAUGGCCAGUUCAUGUGUGACAAAAUAAAAGAUGAGGAAGGGUUGAAAAUCCCUCCAGCUAAGUUAGGGAUCAUGUAAUUGCCAUGGAAACCAAAUAUAGUAACGUAUAACAGGUUGUAUAUUCCUGAAAGGGCAAUUGUUGGAUAAAUGUUAAUUUAUAUUGGCACUAAAGUAAUUUUAAGAUCGUCCUUAGCUUUACAUAAACACCAAGAGCAGAAUAUUGUUCCCAGUUGGAAUUGUGUCAUAUUUAUUAUCAUAAGAGUAUUAUCAUAAUUGUGGUAAUGUAUUCCUAUUUGAAAUUUUGAACCAGUAUAAAUGUGGGAUAUGUUUUAUAUACACUGAAGUUCAAUAUGUGUUACUAUGUAAUUUUAGAUCUGAUCAAGUUUACCUUAAUGUUACUUAAUAAAACCCACUUAACUCCAAAGAAGUAUUUUGAAUAUUUGGUUCUUGCACUAUUUUGUAUCUCUUUUCUCGCUGAAUAUUUACCUUUUAUUGAGAGCUGCGGUGACGGGUUCCAUGACAUUUGCUCUGGCAAAUUCCACACCAUAAUCUUAUGAACAGCUUCAACCAGCAAGGUCUAAA